UAAGUCUCUGUUUAAAUAUCCAGGCUCAACCUGGAGGAAGGCAGGGAAACUGGCUGGCUUGAGCAUAGUAGAGGUAACUGGAAUUUCUAGUGUAGGAGUGAGAUCCGUAGAUAUUAGAAGGAACACCGAUGGCGUAGGCAGGUUACUGGGCUAUUGCUGACACUAAGGCACGAAAGCGUGGGGAGCGAACGGGAUUAGAUACCCCGGUAGUCCACGCCCUAAACGAUGCAUGCUA
This 235-nucleotide ribosomal RNA is filed under the name uncultured Candidatus Saccharibacteria bacterium. Its description in RNAcentral is "partial 16S ribosomal RNA". It matches the Rfam family "Bacterial small subunit ribosomal RNA", at positions 584 to 818 of the family's 1533-position model. The record is from RNAcentral. Lineage: Bacteria; Candidatus Saccharimonadota.